UCUCGGUCUCACCUUCCAGCCCCUCCUCGUCGCUCCAGAACGGCCGCGUCCUUGGGCAGCUCCCCCGUCGAUCCAGUCCCCGUGCUCGAAGUGUGCUGGCGAGAGCGUCCUCAGGAACGUGGAGCCGCCGCGUCCGCCGAAGGCGCCAAAGGGAGCAGCGGCGCUCGGAACCUCGCGAGAGCCAGAGCGAGGCUGGGGUUGUGGAUGUGGUCGGCGUAGUGUGGUGGAGUGUGGCUGAGUCGCGAGGUAAGGCUCUCUUGUUCUCGGCCCUCUAAACUCUCUCUACUCUCCGAUCUCUCCUCCUGCUAGCUCUCCAUCCUCUGUCCCUCUCCGUUUCUCUGUGUUCCCUCCUCUUUCGAGAGUCCUCCUCCGCUCCUUUUCUUCUCUCCGCGGACGCCCGGCCUUCUGUCGUGCCAGCUGCCCUUGCCGGCCUGAUCCACGACCACCACCUCCAGCCGAUCGUCCCCUGAUUCGGCUGUUCCCUCUGCUCCCCUCUACUGUUGCUGCUUUUCUUCCUUUCUUGCAGGCGCGCGCGAAGGACGGCAAGAGGGAGACGACCAGCUCGUGCGCGGGCUGGGCUGAAGGGGAAAAAGGGCUGGGCCGAGCCCAGCGCAAGGGAAAGAGAAAAGGAAAGAGAGGAAAGGGGCCAGCCCAAGGCUUGUCCCAACCCGGUCCGACUGCCCCUCUUUUUUCUUUUUAAUUUCAAAUUUUUUAAUUUUAAUUUUUUUGACAAAUUUUAAAACUAAUGACGCAAAUGCUCCUAAUGUCUAUAUGUGAUGCAAUUUUAAUGAAAUUUUUUUGUUAAGGGGUUAGAAAUUAAUUCCUAAUUUUUUAAUGUAAUUAAUAAACACUUAAACAAAUCGUCAAAAUUUAGGUGUGGAUAUACACCCACACGCAUAAUUUGGAAAAAAUUUCUUAUUUACGGUUUCCUCAGACAAGAGGUUCCUAAUAGGAGGUGAGGAUAGGAAUUGUUUUGUAAAGAAGUGAGUCACAAGUGAGAGCAGAAAAGCGCAAAAUCAACAUCAUCUCUAACUCUUGAAAUAAAACUUUUUUGUGUUACAGUUUCCACGUAUAUUUUUCACGAGGAUAGAGUAUCUACUGAACUCUAUUCUUCAUCUGCGAAGCAAAGUUAAACUAACUCAAGGAACUCAUUGCAUGGCAUGAGCUUGAUUGAUCUAGGAUCAAUUAUGGGAACUUCAAAUAAGAGAAUGUUAGAAAACUGCUCAAGAAUGAUCUUGGGUUCUUUAAAUGAGUUACAGUGGAUGUCUUGUUCUUGAACAAGGCUGAGGAGAUAGAUAUUGACGUGGUUUCCUUUUGGCAUUCUAUUUCAGAUAGAUAGCCACAUUAAACGACUCGAUGAGGAUUUAAAGAACUUCGCAGAAGAUCUCAAGCAAGGUACGGGAUAUUUCCUCUGGUGUGGCAAAGUUGAUACUCAUUACUUUGAGUUAGGCAUGUGGACUAGGCAGUGUUGUCUCCAACAAGUUUUGGCUUGCGAGUUCCUGAUUUGUUAUUGUUCGUGGAUUUAUU
RNAcentral lists this long non-coding RNA (1527 nucleotides) under Eucalyptus grandis. RNAcentral's name for it is "long non-coding RNA (EGRA_LNC000289)". Lineage: Eukaryota; Viridiplantae; Streptophyta; Magnoliopsida; Myrtales; Myrtaceae. The record is from RNAcentral.